AGCAAAGCGAGCCGAGCCGAGCCGAGCAAGCAAGAAUCUUGCACGGAGUGGAUUUUCGUCUUUGCCACCCCCCGAACCCUUCUUCGCCCCCUUUCCCUUUUCAUCGNUACAGGACAGCAGUCGGGGCUUGCCGUGGUAGGGCAGAUCACCUGUCGCUUUAAUAGGGAGAUUUUUUUUUUUCCUUCAAAGAAAAAGAAGAAGAAGGGGGGACGAACGGAACUGCCCGGAGAGUGUCGCCUCUUAUUCUGUUGAAUAUAUAUGUGUAUAUCUCGAUCGAUUUGGACCCAACGGAAGCGGGCGUGAUUCCCGGAGAAUGAAAUUGAGCAGAGCGUCGACGAUUUGGAGGACAAGGUUGAGUUUGCCCUGGAAACUGAGAGCCUAGAAAAAAUACAUAUAUAUUCUUUCUUUUUCUUUCUUUUUUUUUUUCCUGCUGAAAGAGAGAUAAUUUGGUACAACUUCUAUAGUGCUUUAUUUCUACUCCUUCUCCUUCCACGUUUUCCUUCUCCCAUCUCCGCGCCGUUCAGUUUCGGUCUAUGGAUAGAUCACAGAAUCUGGACAUUGAGGAGCUCAAGUGGUGCUGAAAACAGAAGAAUUUGUACAUGGACAAAAUAAAGAAUCACCCUUGCAUCUCCCUUGGCAAUAGUUUUGUCCUCUCUUUGAGUCCAACAGAAUUUUCGACUUCCCCCUUAGUGGGGAGCGUCUUUUUAAGGAAGCUUCCUGAAGAUUGCAGAAUAAUGGCUGCUUACCUCAUUCUGCAGCCUGGAAUUGAAACUGGAUAAAGAAAACUAUAGCUGAAGAGGAAAAUAGAGGCUUGGAAAACCAGCAUAAGAACAUGAAGGAAAGAAAUGAGUGUGAUCUACACCUGGGGCAGGUUCCACCUGCAUUUUAUUGAUGGGAUGUGAAACAAAAGAAAAAAUAUGUCAAGAAAAAGAUCCAUUUAUUUUAAAAAUGUGGUCCUUUAUCACACUUGUGUAACUGAACCCCUCGAUCAGUACGCUGCAAAAUUUGAAGCAUGACUUUCUGAGGAAUAGCAACAUUUCAGUUCAUGCACUGCUUGAAAAGUACACUUCUUGGAGUCCUUCAUUGACCAAGGGAAAAGAUUUUGCAAAGUUUGUACUACAGUUGAUUACAGUGGUUUUGUCGUAGAAGGAGAAUUUGGAGCUUCUUAUUUCUUGUUGUCAUUCAGUGAGAUAGAAAAAGGAGGGGAAAAUAACACUUUUAGCUUGUUCUGAAUGAUAUGAUUAUGGAUUCUUUCCCUAAGUUGUGAUUGUCUAGGGAAAUCUGUCCAUGUCCAGAAGUCUGCAGUGGGUGGUGUAACUGAUGCAGACUAUAUAAACCAAAAAAGGAUAUUUAUUGCGUAAAGGGUACAAUUUAAAGAGGCUAAGAAGUUAAAUCCUGAGAGAAGAUCCUUGCUUCCUGAUUAAAAUGUAAUUAUAAAUUACAGUGUGAAUGCUGUAAUUUUGUCAACGAUUUUGUACUCUCAAGCUCAACUUUGCAUUAAAGAGCUCUACAAUCUUUUCUCUGCCUUAGAUGUUUUCUUCAGUCUUAUUGAUGAAAAGACAACACCACUCCAAAAGCCACAGAUAUAGGA
Molecule: long non-coding RNA, 1591 nt
Organism: Salvator merianae (Argentine black and white tegu)
Lineage: Eukaryota; Metazoa; Chordata; Lepidosauria; Squamata; Teiidae
Source: Ensembl